GACGAACGCUGGCGGCGUGCUUAACACAUGCAAGUCGAACGGAGAAGCGCCUUCCUUUUUGGUGGGUGUGGUUGCGAGGGGGAGGGGAGCAUAACACGAGCGUGCCCUGGACCCUUGGACAGGAUAACGGCACGAGAGCGAGGACCAUAUGGGAUAUUCUGGGUCUGUGGGGUGGUGGGACUGGGUCGGAGGUUGUGGAGGUGGGGGCUGGGCUUGCGGCUUAUCAGCUUGUUGGGGGGGUAGUGGGCUAUGAAGGGUUGGGCGGGUAGCCGGCCUGAGAGGGUGAGCGGCACCAUUGGGACUGAGAUACGGCGCAGACUCCUACGGGAGGCAGCAGUGGGGAAUAUUGCACAAUGGGCGGAAGCCUGAUGCAGCAACGCCGCGUGCGGGAUGACGGCCUUCGGGUUGUAAACCGCUUUCGCCUGUGACGAAGCGUGAGUGACGGUAAUGGGUAAAGAAGCACCGGCUAACUACGUG
Molecule: ribosomal RNA, 477 nt
Filed under: uncultured bacterium
Lineage: Bacteria
Description: partial 16S ribosomal RNA
Rfam family: Bacterial small subunit ribosomal RNA
Source: RNAcentral